RNAcentral lists this transfer RNA (58 nucleotides) under Cavia porcellus (domestic guinea pig). It matches the Rfam family "tRNA", at positions 8 to 63 of the family's 71-position model. Rfam says of the family: Transfer RNA (tRNA) molecules are approximately 80 nucleotides in length. Lineage: Eukaryota; Metazoa; Chordata; Mammalia; Rodentia; Caviidae. The record is from Rfam by way of RNAcentral.
UAGCUCAGCGGCAUAAGCACCUGCCUUGCAAGCAGGCGGUCCUGAGUUCGAUCCUCAG